CAAGCGGAUGUACGCUGACUUUAGUUGUUUAUGUCGCAGCCACAGCGUGAACCCACAAACAAGAAGUGCCACCCAACAGCAUUCAGCUAUUCGCCCGCGUGCGAAUUGAUGGUGCGACGUGCACCAGCAGCUUCUGCAACUCGUUGCCCUUUUGAUUUAUCAAAGCUAAACUAAAAAAAAAACAACAACUGCUGUUUUACCCAUGUUUUGUUGUCUGUGCCAUAAACUUUGUGCUGGCUCAUCGUUGCAACAUUUAUCUAUUUGUUGUUUCUCUUCUCCUUGACUCCCGAGGAGAAAAAAAUUCAUCGACAAGUACCGAUCACCGUUUAAAUGCUUUCCUCCACCAUCUGUAAAAGAAACUGGAUCACACAGGGGAAUCGACAGCAGCGGGAAAACAACAGCCUCGUGAUCUUUCGCUGACCUGUCAAAUAGAAAUCGCGUCGUUCACGGUCGCGCGGCUGAAAUCAGCUAUUACGGCUGUAUACAACAAACACCCCCCCCACCCCCAUCAUGAGAAGAAAAACCAAAAGCAACAAGAAUAGAGCCGUGAGGAAAGAGAAAGAAGAUAUGAAGGAAGAAGAGACGAAAGAGACUCUUUCUUUCCGAUGAGAAGGGUAUCGCUAAUGGAGAGGAAUGCUGCCGACCUCGACGACCCGCCACUGACGACCUCUCUCUCUCUCUCGGCUUCAACUCGGGGUUCUUAUCUUUUCUAUUCCCCUCCAAUAAGUCUUACCCGCGUUCGCAUCGGUUUCCUACAUGUUGGAGAAAGUUUCCUUCUUUUUUUUUCCGGUUAGGUUCCCUGCUGUACUGCGUUCGCCUGCAGCGCCACCUCCACCUCUUGUCAUGUCUGCAGCAGCCUUUCCUUUUAUUCAUCAUUUUGAUGUAUUCCCGCGCCCUGCGAGAAUUCCAUCCUCACAGCCAUUUCAAGUUUCCUCGGCUUCUGUCGUCCUGCCAAACAGAAACAAAACUGGUGGUGUGUGGACUGUCGUGUCGGGUCCGCCGCUUUUCAUUUCUGCAGCAAGAAACAAAACAACCAAAUUUCAUGGAUAUCUUCGUUGAUAAAUGGCGAAAUCGAGAAGACAGUUCACGAAUCACCUGGGCUCACGUCGGUAGCUGCAUACCCUGCAUCUCAUUAUAUUCACCUGUUGCAUAUACGAUCUGAUUCGCCGUUAAAUUACCAUAUUUUGUAAGCACCGAUUUCAUCUUGCCCCCUUAAUCUUGGGUCAGUUUCUGCUUUGCUGGAUCGAUUCUGAGUUGGCUGGAUUCGUCCCGCUGGUGCGCGCACACGCAAAUAUGUGAUUAUUAGCUUUGAUUAGGAGUUACAACGGGAUCAUCAAUAGUGAAACUUCAUCGUCCAAGUAUGGCUGACGAUGCAGUUGAUAAACCCUGUGCGUCUACUACCACCCCCCAAAAUAAAAUUCAAACCAGAAAUUUUUACCGCCUUUUCUUUUUUGUUAUUUAAUUUCAAUCUUCUUUUUAUUUUGUUCGGAGGGAUGUUUGUGUUGUCCACUUUGUACCCCCCCCAAACCAUCGGCUAUCGAUUCGCAAUAGACGCGCGUGUACAAUGUAUAGAGAAACUACGCAUUGAUACGUGGUGUAUAAACGUAUACCAAGCAGCACGCAUUUGAAUACGAUUGCGGAUGUGCUUUGAAAAGGAGGGGGACCCCUCCUAUAUAUAUAUACGUAUCCCGCUGCCGUCCGAUAAAUAUCAGAUUAUUCAAAUGAAGAAGUGGGAAGCGCGCUCCGUGCAGAGCGAGCAGGAGAAAGCCUCGUCAUCGUACAACAGCGACGACCAGCAGCAGCAGCAUCAUCAUCAGCAGCUGAAUGUGAAGCCCAAUGUUGAAGUCAAAGAGAGGAAAACAAAACUUUUUUUUUUCUUCUUCUUCUUCUUCUCUCCCACACCCACAAUACCCCGUUCGAGACGCAGGUAUACGAUUGUGUAAUCAUUUGAAUUUGGGUCCGAUGGAGACCGUUUUUUUUUUUUUUCGAUUCCGGUGCCAACAAACAAACAUUCCAGCCCACCAUUCCGGCAAGGUGUUUUUUUUUCUUCUUCUGGUUGGAAAUGUUUCUUUCUUCUCAUCAGGAAAAAGGGACUUUUGCCUCUCGUCGUACACAUAAAAAAAACGUCCAGCAUCACAUGAGCGUAGAUACAAAAAAAAAAAAAAUCUAAAGAACUCCGGCUGUCUUUCGGAGCUAAAUGGUGCCAUAUCCUGGUGUACAAGUCAGUCAUUCGAGUGUGGACAAAAUGGUAGAUAUGCUCUUUUAGAUUACCAGGGCAUCAUGACUAAUAAAUGUUACAAGAACAAAUAUUAAAAAAAAAAAAAACACAGGAAAAUUGGCCGUUCGUCUUACGCUAAUUCUUCUGCGAGUUUCUUAUGAUUGGCUUCAAUUGGCACGCUAGAGAGAAAAAGACGCGCGUGCGUAGUACCUACAAAGACACGCACGCAAUGUACACCCCUGUCCUGACACACUGACUGCUGUAAGCGGCGGGCAGGGCCGGGAACCCAGGAGAAAGCUGCAUCAUACCAGAACCUGCUGGUGUAUUAUAUACUUCUCUCCCCGUCUUAUUUUUUUCUAUCUCUCUUUCUCGUUUUUUUUUUUUGCGCAGCUAUUCCUUUCUGUGAGCAACUUCAUUUUCGAAAGGUUUUGACCCCUCCCUGACUUUUUUAUUUUAUUUUACGUCUCUCCUCCUCUCUUCGAUAUACGAGUCUGUCGUUCCUUAUACGUGUGUCUCUCUAUAACAUCCACCAUUUCCUGCCCAAUCAAAAAAAAAAAAAAAAAUCUCUUCUUUUAAUUCCUCGAGGGCCUUGAUGUCUGGUCGUCAGGAGCCCCUUCGCUCUGCUGGGUUCUUCUGUUCUGAUGAUUAUUUACAUUUAUGAUUUCUUUACGACCAGGUGAAAUCAACAACAUUUUCCCUUUUACUUUCAUUCAUCUGGUUCUACAGGUACUGAGUGCCCACUCCUCUAGCAACUAGAGAACUUGGUCAUGGUCCUUCCUCCUAUCUCUCCCCCCUUCCCUUUUCAACCCUUUCGGGUGAAAUUUUUUUUUUUUCCAUUUGAUUUCCACCUUUUCACGAUAAAAUCCCGAAGGCAAGGUUGUAAUUUUAUUGUGUACCAUUCUGUUGUUUGUUCUUCGUUUUCCCUUCUCUUGUCGUCCCGCUCUGCGAGCAAAGGCAGCAAAGAAAAAUAUACCUAAACAACAUGUG
This 3205-nucleotide long non-coding RNA is filed under the name Daphnia magna. Its description in RNAcentral is "uncharacterized LOC123469968". Lineage: Eukaryota; Metazoa; Arthropoda; Branchiopoda; Diplostraca; Daphniidae. The record is from RNAcentral.